RNAcentral lists this ribosomal RNA (468 nucleotides) under uncultured bacterium. Its description in RNAcentral is "partial 16S ribosomal RNA". It matches the Rfam family "Bacterial small subunit ribosomal RNA", at positions 28 to 507 of the family's 1533-position model. The record is from RNAcentral.
GACGAACGCUGGCGGCGUGCUUAACACAUGCAAGUCGAACGGAAAGGCCCUGCGUUUGUGGGGUGCUCGAGUGGGGAACGGGUGAGUAACACGUGAGUAACCUGCCCUUGACUUUGGGAUAACUUCAGGAAACUGGGGCUAAUACCGGAGAGGAGCUCCUGCUGCAUGGUGGGGGUUGGAAAGUUUCGGCGGUUGGGGAUGGACUCGCGGCUUAUCAGCUUGUUUGUGGGGUAGUGGCUUACCAAGGCUUUGGCGGGUAGCCGGCCUGAGAGGGUGGACGGCCACAUUGGGACUGCGAUACGGCCCAGACUCCUACGGGACGCAGCAGGGGGGAAUAUUGCACAAUGGGCGGAAGCCUGAUGCAGCAACGCCGCGUGCGGGAUGACGGCCUUCGGGUUGUAAACCGCUUUCGCCUGUGACGAAGCGUGAGUGACGGUAAUGGGUAAAGAAGCACCGGCUAACUACGUG